This is a long non-coding RNA of Cygnus olor (mute swan), 371 nucleotides long. RefSeq lists it as uncharacterized. Lineage: Eukaryota; Metazoa; Chordata; Aves; Anseriformes; Anatidae. The transcript is spliced from 3 exons. The record is from RefSeq and is a predicted model, not a curated record.
UCUGAGAAAAGAGAAGGCUUGGGGGGAACCCAUCAACUUAUACAAAUACCUGAAACAAGAAUACAAUGAGGAUGGAGACAUCUUCCAAUGGUGCCCAGUGACAGAACAAGAGGCAACGGGCACAAACCGGAGCACAGGAGAUUCUUGCUGAAUAUGAAAGGGCACUUCUUUACUGUGAGGGUAACAGAGCACUGGAACAGGUUGCCCAGAGAGGCUGUGGAGUCUCCUUCAAAACCUGCCUAGAUGCGAUCCUGUGCAAUGUACUGUAGGUGCCCCUGCUUGGCAGUGGGGUUUGGACUAAAUGAUCUCCAGAGGUCCCUUCCAACCUCAACCAUUUUGUGACUCUGUGAUUCUGUGAUUCUCAGCAUGAA